AGGGGAAGAGUUCGUUUGGUAGAAUAUUGGUCUCCAAAACCACAGGUUAAGGGUUCGACUCCCUUUUCCCCUG
This 73-nucleotide transfer RNA is filed under the name Medakamo hakoo. Its description in RNAcentral is "trnW-CCA". It matches the Rfam family "tRNA". Rfam says of the family: Transfer RNA (tRNA) molecules are approximately 80 nucleotides in length. Their secondary structure includes four short double-helical elements and three loops (D, anti-codon, and T loops). Lineage: Eukaryota; Viridiplantae; Chlorophyta; Trebouxiophyceae; Coccomyxaceae. The record is from RNAcentral.